AGAGUUUGAUCCUGGCUCAGAUUGAACGCUGGCGGAAUGCUUUACACAUGCAAGUCGAACGGCAGCGCGGGGGCAACCCUGGUGGCGAGUGGCGAACGGGUGAGUAAUACAUCGGAACGUGCCCAGUCGUGGGGGAUAACUACGCGAAAGCGUAGCUAAUACCGCAUACGAUCUCUGGAUGAAAGCGGGGGACCGCAAGGCCUCGCGCGAUUGGAGCGGCCGAUGGCAGAUUAGGUAGUUGGUGGGGUAAAGGCCUACCAAGCCGACGAUCUGUAGCUGGUCUGAGAGGACGACCAGCCACACUGGGACUGAGACACGGCCCAGACUCCUACGGGAGGCAGCAGUGGGGAAUUUUGGACAAUGGGCGCAAGCCUGAUCCAGCCAUUCCGCGUGCAGGAUGAAGGCCCUCGGGUUGUAAACUGCUUUUGUACGGAACGAAACGCGCUGAGUUAAUACCUCGGCGUAAUGACGGUACCGUAAGAAUAAGCACCGGCUAACUACGUGCCAGCAGCCGCGGUAAUACGUAGGGUGCGAGCGUUAAUCGGAAUUACUGGGCGUAAAGCGUGCGCAGGCGGUGAUGUAAGACAGGUGUGAAAUCCCCGGGCUUAACCUGGGAACUGCAUUUGUGACUGCAUUGCUGGAGUGCGGCAGAGGGGGAUGGAAUUCCGCGUGUAGCAGUGAAAUGCGUAGAUAUGCGGAGGAACACCGAUGGCGAAGGCAGGCCACUGGUCCAUUACUGACACUAAGGCACGAAAGCGUGGGGAGCGAACGGGAUUAGAUACCCCUGUAGUCC
Molecule: ribosomal RNA, 793 nt
Filed under: uncultured Ramlibacter sp.
Lineage: Bacteria; Pseudomonadati; Pseudomonadota; Betaproteobacteria; Burkholderiales; Comamonadaceae
Description: bacterial SSU rRNA
Rfam family: Bacterial small subunit ribosomal RNA
Source: RNAcentral